Molecule: transfer RNA, 89 nt
Filed under: Prevotella sp.
Lineage: Bacteria; Pseudomonadati; Bacteroidota; Bacteroidia; Bacteroidales; Prevotellaceae
Description: tRNA-Leu
Rfam family: tRNA
About the family: Transfer RNA (tRNA) molecules are approximately 80 nucleotides in length.
Source: RNAcentral
GCCGCGAUGGUGGAAUUGGUAGACACGAGGGACUUAAAAUCCCUUGGCCAGAAAUGGCUGUACGGGUUCGAGUCCCGUUCGCGGCACUA